Molecule: ribosomal RNA, 253 nt
Filed under: uncultured bacterium
Lineage: Bacteria
Description: partial 16S ribosomal RNA
Rfam family: Bacterial small subunit ribosomal RNA
Source: RNAcentral
UACGUAGGGUGCAAGCGUUGUCCGGAAUUAUUGGGCGUAAAGAGCUCGUAGGCGGCUUGUCACGUCGACUGUGAAAACCCGGGGCUCAACUCCGGGCCUGCAGUCGAUACGGGCUGGCUUGAGUGCGGUAGGGGAGACUGGAAUUCCUGGUGUAGCGGUGAAAUGCGCAGAUAUCAGGAGGAACACCGGUGGCGAAGGCGGGUCUCUGGGCCACUACUGACGCUGAGAAGCGAAAGCAUGGGGAGCGAACAGG